Molecule: small nuclear RNA, 148 nt
Organism: Rattus norvegicus (Norway rat)
Lineage: Eukaryota; Metazoa; Chordata; Mammalia; Rodentia; Muridae
Product: U4 spliceosomal RNA
Source: Ensembl
AGCUUUGCGCAGUGGCAGUAUCGUAGCCAAUGAGGUUUAUCCGAGGCGCGAUUAUUGCUAAUUGAAAAAACAUGAUACCAGAUGGUGAUACCUUCUGGAUAGGUCAUAUGCAGGGAAGUAGUAAAAUGGGGGUUCUUACUUGUUGACU